AUGCACGGGAGUUUCUCGCCGGCAGCUCCCAGCCGAUCUGCACGCGGGUCUGCCCGCGGAGAGGCCGCCGCGCCCCUCCCACCGCCGGCAGUGGCCGCGAGGACGCGGACCUGUUCUGGCUUGCUCUCGGAUCCACACCCUCCCCGCAGAGGGAGGCUCGCGCAGCUCCUCUCUGCGGUGGUUCUGCCCACCCACCCCACACCCACGCCGCUUAUUCCCCCUCCCUUUCCUCGCUCCCUUGGGACAGCGAGAGUUUCAGGCUUAAGGCUUUUAUUUCACGGUGAAAAGCAAGGGACGAAGCCCAAACUUUGCUCGCCAUUUUCUACGUCUAUGGUUAAAAGAGGUAGAUAAGCUCCAGGAGACGGUGAAGGACAGGGAAGCCUGGCGUGCUGCAGUCCAUGCAGUCACAAAGAAUCUGAUAUGAUUGGGCAAGUGAACAACAACAACAACAGAUAAAAUGUGGUCUGAACAAGUAACGUAAUAACUAUCUGUGGUGAUAUUAGGGGCACUCGCG
RNAcentral lists this long non-coding RNA (514 nucleotides) under Capra hircus (goat). Its description in RNAcentral is "lncRNA (ENSCHIG00000000682.1)". Lineage: Eukaryota; Metazoa; Chordata; Mammalia; Artiodactyla; Bovidae. The record is from RNAcentral.